AUUGAACGCUGGCGGCAGGCCUAACACAUGCCAGUCGAGCGGAUGAAGGGAGCUUGCUCCUGGAUUCAGCGGCGGACGGGUGAGUAAUGCCUAGGAAUCUGCCUGGUAGUGGGGGCUAACGUCCGGAAACGGGCGCUAAUACCGCAUACGUCCUGAGGGAGAAAGUGGGGGAUCUUCGGACCUCACGCUCUCAGAUGAGCCUAGGUCGGAUUAGCUAGUUGGUGGGGUAAAGGCCUACCAAGGCGACGAUCCGUAACUGGUCUGAGAGGAUGAUCAGUCACACUGGAACUGAGACACGGUCCAGACUCCUACGGGAGGCAGCAGUGGGGAAUAUUGGACAAUGGGCGAAAGCCUGAUCCAGCCAUGCCGCGUGUGUGAAGAAGGUCUUCGGAUUGUAAAGCACUUUAAGUUGGGAGGAAGGGCAGUAAGUUAAUACCUUGCUGGUUUGACGUUACCAACAGAAUAAGCACCGGCUAACUUCGUG
RNAcentral lists this ribosomal RNA (484 nucleotides) under uncultured bacterium. Its description in RNAcentral is "partial 16S ribosomal RNA". It matches the Rfam family "Bacterial small subunit ribosomal RNA", at positions 30 to 507 of the family's 1533-position model. The record is from RNAcentral.